RNA transcript from Macrobrachium nipponense, 3298 nucleotides. It is a transcript of the gene named SPRY domain-containing SOCS box protein 3-like, with no coding region annotated. NCBI's taxonomy places the organism in Eukaryota, Metazoa, Arthropoda, Malacostraca, Decapoda, Palaemonidae. The transcript is spliced from 3 exons. The record is from RefSeq and is a predicted model, not a curated record.
GGGAGGAGUAGGUGAGGAGGCAGGCAGCUGCUAUCAUCUGAUCGAUAAACUUAUAUAGCGAAUAGCGUUCACGAUUUCCCCUUUUAAGUUGAUGUCACGCUUUCGUUUCGUAACCUCAGGAUCUUUAAUUAAACGGCAGGUAAUUGAUGUCAUUAAUCUCUCGACAGGGGCACCCAAACACCUCGAGUUAAGUUGCCUAAACGUUAUUUAAAGUUAGGAGGGAAGGAAGGUUUCCGCGGACUGGCUAACUGGCAACGCCUUCCCCUCGUCGUCAGUCAGCUGUUGGGGCGCUGCACCAGACCCAGGAAAUUUCCCUUUAACCGAACGGUGACAAUUCGUACCGGAGGGAGAGAGUGAGAAAGCAGUAAACCUCUCCCGAGGCUUCGUCGUUAAACUCCCAUGUGAUCAAGUGCCAAAAGCUCGCCAGCCGUUGGUGGGUGGGGCGAACGCCCCCUACUAUAUGCCACAGUUCCAAGCAAACCGUCGCCCAGGUCAAUGGAAACCUAGGCCCACCUGAAUGACUGGCUGUCAAUUCGAGGCAUGUUUUAAGGAAUGUCAGUGCCUGGGAUUGUUGGGUGCAGCCGAGUGAGUAUGGGUUCCUGUAGAGUGUGUGUCAUUCAAGCCCCUUCUGAGAUGACAACCACCUCCCCCCACCGGACUGUCUGAACCAGAAUGUCGCACCCAUUCACCAACAUCAGGAUCGAUCACGCUGGUCCUAUUCAUGUGGAAGGAGGGAUAGGAUAUCUGUUGAUAAUCACUUGUGUCGUGAAAAAAUAAGUGCAAAUAUUUUUCCAUGACUUAUUCCCGUAUGUCCACAUAUGCCAAAAACACCAUGUAUACGUCAGUUGGUAACAAGAACGAGAUGGUUCUUAAGUCACAUUGCCUUUUCAUUGUUUCGUAACUUUUACUCCAUGUGGAAUACACUCAUACCAGUUGUGUUGCAUUAAUUUCAACUUGCAUAAAGGAAAUAAGUUCUUACUGUAAAAUUUAAUUUGACCAAAAUUGACUUGCCCAAGAGGAUAUAAAUAAGCUCCGUCCACCUCAAUCGCCCUUCUAUCUAGAGAUCACAACCCAACAGAUCGGGCCGAGGGGGGAGCUCCUGUUUGAUACAAGAGUGUGGCAUCGAACUACGAUACAUCUCCACCAAACAGAACCCAGCUGACAUCCUGACCCAUGGCUCUACCUUGAAUGAACUGAAACUGAAUCGUUUGUGGCAAGAAGGACCUGCCUUUCUACGACAUGAGGGGAUUGCUGAGCUGUAUGCCGAGGAAGGAGAAACUCCCAUCUGACAACAAGUUGUAAUUAUAGCUCCCCUGAGAGAGCUCAGGGAAGAAGGAACACUGACUCCACCAACAGAACUGGGAGUUACAGGGGAGUGGUGUUAAUUUUGUCCAACUAAUGAAAGUUAUGCAGCUAGUCCUGAAAUAUGGGAACUGCCCGGCAAAAUUAUUUUGCAAAUUUUUAUACUUAGAACAAAGACACCACCUUCCUAAAGUGUGUAUGUUGUUGUUGAAGAUUAAGCUGGCUUUAUGCCAGCACGGGCUCUUGCUCAAGAGCAGCCCGUAGAUUAGAAAGUGGAUUGCGAGUGCCACCUACAUGGAUAAUUUUGUCAAACAACUUAGCUUAGUACUCAAAAUAUACUCAAAAUCGAUUGAUUAAUGCUAGUGAUAGUAAAAACGAAUUAAUGUUGCUGCCUUUAAAAGGGCUAUUAGUCUCCUUGACCCUUAAACACCUUCAUAUCACUUACAUGCAAUGUGGGGUCAAUACUUUAAUGACUUUCUUUCGACAGGAUUGUUGGAGCCUGGGGUUGAGGGUUAUAGCCAAGAGAGUAGUUGGGAGGAGCAGAGCAUGUAUCGUGGCCUUCAAGCCUCUUCUACAACAACCACCACCUCCACCCCUCCGGACUGACUGAGCAAUCAUGACCCGUCCCUUUGACAAGGUCGGCAUAGACCACACUGGCCCUAUCCAAGUAAUGGUGGAGUGGGGCACACUCUGAUCAUCACCAGUUUGGUCAGCCAUUCAGUAUACCUGGACUACUGUAGCAGGCUGGACGCCGACACCUUCGUGUUGCCACUGAGAUUUGCUGCCACCCAUGGCGCCCCCACCACUGUGUACAGUGACAAUGCAAUGACCUCCCAUGCAGCAAGUACCUUUCUAAAGGAAGUGUACGAUGAGGACAUCACUCGGCAGUUCCUGCAUAGGACCAGAACAAAGUGGAUCUUCGAGACUCCCAGAUCUCUGGAAAGGGGGAUUUUUUGAAAGGUUGAUUGGGGUAGUCAAGAGGAUGCUGGCUACCACCAUUCGAUGUAAUGUCUUCCAUGAAGAACAGCUUCGAACCCUCAUUAAGGAGGCUGAGGCUGUUGUUAACAACCACCCCUUGAUGUACACCAGGGACAUGCAUGAGGAAGAAGCCCUCCCCCAUCGUACCUCAUCCAUGGAGAUGUAGUCCAUCUGCUCUCGCCUGUGGUCCCGGAUGAGGACAUGCACCAGAUGUUGACCACUAGGCAACUGUGUCAGCAAUACUUCAGACUAACCGAGACCCUCAAUAAUUUCAAAUGUUACCGGAGGGAAGGUUACCUGAAGUCACUACAGGAAUGACACGACCUAUGAGAGGCUCCCCUGACUGCACUGCAUGAAGGCGACAUCGUGUUGAUCAAGGCUGAUCAACAGAAGAGCAGUCAAUGUCCCCUCAGUAAGAUCAUCGAAGUAUACCCUGACAGCAGGGGGAUCAUCAGGUCACUGAAAGUACUCUUUGAAGACUAGGAACACCUGCGAGCAGUCCAACACAUCAUCCCACUUGAGAUCAACGCCCAUAAUGACAAGCAAGAAGAAGAAGGGAACCAGGACAACGACGGUUAUGACGCAGAAGGAAAUGGUGGAAGUCAGGCCGAGGAUAGUGAAGAAGAGUUGAAUCGACAGACUGGGAGACUAUAUAAGUGAUCGUGGAACAGAUAGUGAUAGGGAUGAAGAGAAUGAGACAGUGAAUGAAGUUGAGAUCUGAUUAAAAAGGAAAUCUGCUGUUGAACAGAGAAAAAGAAUGUUGGAGUGGGUAAAAGAUGAUUUAGUGUAGUGUGUUGUUAACAGUUAAGAGGUGAACUAUGAAAGAGCGCACGUUGAGAGGAGAUUUGAAGAUUGUAGGAUAAGUAUGUAUCAUGUUACUGAUAGCAGUAAUACUACGUACUGAACCAAGUGUUGUUAUGUCUGUGGUUAGCAACACAUUACCUAAGUUGGCGUGAACGCCAGUUGCCCUGUACCCCCCUUAGGAUUAAGACGCCUCUAUAAUAAACCAUCAACAUGG